CAACAACUAAACCGACAACAACUAAACCUACAACAACAACGACAACAACUAAACCAACAACAACAACUGAAAACACCUCAAAAUCCGUUACAGCCACAACAACCAAAGAUCCUUCAACAAAACAAGAUUUGCUGCUCAAGGUGUCUGUUGGAGUUGCCGCCCUGUUAAUAGUUGUUAUUGUUGUUGCUCUCAUCAUAUGGAAGAAAACUAAAGGAAAAAAAACCCAGAUGGAUGAAAACACUGUGAGUUUUACG
Micropterus salmoides (largemouth bass) is the source of this 254-nucleotide long non-coding RNA. RefSeq lists it as uncharacterized. The record is from RefSeq and is a predicted model, not a curated record. The transcript is spliced from 3 exons. NCBI's taxonomy places the organism in Eukaryota, Metazoa, Chordata, Actinopteri, Centrarchiformes, Centrarchidae.